This is a non-coding RNA of Cinara cedri, 1500 nucleotides long. Lineage: Eukaryota; Metazoa; Arthropoda; Insecta; Hemiptera; Aphididae. The record is from the annotation of a GenBank genome assembly.
GCGCAUUUUUGUUAUUCGACGAUGUCCAUGGUAUAAUAUAUACCUAUAUAUAGGUACGCUGAAACAAUUUUUAAUUUUUAUUACAAUGUGCUUAUACGGUAUGCAUUCGUUUUUUUUUUUUUUUUUUUAUAUAUAGUGUAUAAUAUUAACAUAAAACAUCGUAUGAGAAAUGUACAUUUAUUUUAUUUUUUUUUUUUGAAAGAUUUUCUUUUAGGUUUUUCAAUAAGAAAAAAAAAAUCGAAAAAAUAGAUAAACCCCUUUUUUCUUGUUAUCAUAAACUAAGGUUUACGUGGUAUUAUAUGAUUCGCAGUAUUACUAUUUAGACUUUAGUUGUAAUAUAAUGUACUAUAUCCUAUUUAACUGUGGUGGUAUAUAAUAUUGUUACAGUAGUAUAAUAUUCUUAUAUUUUUUAGAACGUAGAACGAACGGGUUACAGGAAAAAGUAUUGAAAAAUAAAACAACUUAACGGUUAUAUUUAAAUAAGUACUUACUGAUAUUUUCUUUAUAGCACAUAGGUAUAUUAUUAACUCUACAGUAUAGCGAUUUAAAUCAAUUCUACUUCAAUCGAUCCUGCCGAAUGCCGAUGUUAUAAAGCGAUAAGAAUUAUUUUGAAAACAGAUUUGAAUUCAGCGUGAAGUGUACAUGAUACAUCGGAACAUGUCCCUUUUUGAAUUUCAGUACCUAGUUCUCAAAAAUUUGACUUGUCAAUAAUAAAAUGUGUACACAUCUUAUACUAUACAAACAUAAAAUGGACUAAAUUGCGUAUGUGUUCUGAUAGCGUACGUAUGAAUCUAUAUAAGUUUGGAAUGUACAAACUUGGUUUCCAGAUUUCCCCCUUCUCCCGGCUAUCGGUACUCUUUUUUUUUCUGUGUGUGUGUGUGUAUUAGAGUCUAAUAGUUACACAAUGAAAAACAAACACGGUAUUUAUUUUUCACUUAAAAUAUACCUACCUACUAUAAUAAUGUUUGAUUCAACGCUGUUUAAAUUGUCUACAAAUACCUAAUUAAUUGAUCUCAACAAUUGACGUACAUGUAACUUUUUUUAUGAACAUAAUAUUAUAUAAUUUAUUAUAAUAUUGUUAAAUAUGCACAAAAAACACUUUAGAUGUACCGCAAUGUACACUAUCUUUGAUACCAGUGGAGAAGGGGUUAAGUUAAUUUAUUUUGUCUAAUGAAAUUUGUUGGUCUAAAUUACAUAAAUCACAUAAGUGUACGUAUUUUCAAAAUGUAAUCAGCUUGUAUUGAAAACUAUAAAAUCUUGGCUAAAGCCCUUCAUCUCUGGACCAAAGACAUAUUACAUAUAUAGGUACACAAUUUGUCUAGUAUACAAAGUAUACAACUAUUUUUACUAGCACAUUAUAUUUUUAGAAUUUAGUAAUGCUUUGUUCAGAAAUGUUCUAUUAUAUUGUAAAUGUACACUGUUAAUAUUAUAUUUUUUUUUUCAUGUUUACACUGACAGCAGUGGAAGAUCUGUUUUCACAAUACUACCCCACUGCUGCCA